GGGGAUGUAGCUCAGCGGGAGAGCGCCUGCUUUGCAAGCAGGAGGUCGUGGGUUCAACUCCCACCAUCUCCA
RNAcentral lists this transfer RNA (72 nucleotides) under Hydrogenobacter sp. GV1-4. Its description in RNAcentral is "transfer RNA-Ala". It matches the Rfam family "tRNA". From Rfam's summary of the family: Transfer RNA (tRNA) molecules are approximately 80 nucleotides in length. Lineage: Bacteria; Pseudomonadati; Aquificota; Aquificia; Aquificales; Aquificaceae. RNAcentral also lists the same sequence under 6 other names. The record is from RNAcentral.